This 650-nucleotide ribosomal RNA is filed under the name Backusella circina. Its description in RNAcentral is "partial large subunit ribosomal RNA". It matches the Rfam family "Eukaryotic large subunit ribosomal RNA", at positions 92 to 648 of the family's 3401-position model. The record is from RNAcentral. Lineage: Eukaryota; Fungi; Mucoromycota; Mucoromycetes; Mucorales; Backusellaceae.
AGUGAAGAGGAAAGAGCUCAAAGUUGGAAUCCGGUUGCCCUAGGUAAUUGGAAUUGUAAACUGGAGAGGUGUUUUCCAGGCGAGCCAAGCAAAUAAGUCCUUUGGAACAGGGCAUCAUAGAGGGUGAGAAUCCCGUCUUUGGCUUGAGCAUUGCCUUUUGCGAUACACUUUCAAAGAGUCAGGUUGUUUGGGAAUGCAGCCUAAAUUGGGUGGUAAAUCUCACCUAAAGCUAAAUAUUGGCGAGAGACCGAUAGCGAACAAGUACCGUGAGGGAAAGAUGAAAAGAACUUUGAAAAGAGAGUUAAACAGUAUGUGAAAUUGUUGAAAGGGAACCGUUUGGAGCCAGACCGGCUGCUCUAUAAUCAAUCUCUGCUUCGGUAGGGAUGCACUUGUAGGGCUUUAGCCUGCCAACAGCAAUUUUCUUUGGUGGAAAAAACUAGAAGGAAUGUGGCCCCUCGGGGUGUUAUAGCCUUUUAGAAAAUACACUGAAGGGGAUUGAGGACUGCAGCAAAUGCUUUUGGCGAAAUAACUAGGUGCUUGUGUUAAGGACGUAUAGAAUCUCUGCUUCGGGUGGUGCUAUGCUCUGCGAUGCAACUCGCUUAGACUAUUUUCUAUUUGCUUAGGUUGUUGGCUUAAUGACUCUAAAUGAC